Daktulosphaira vitifoliae (grape phylloxera) is the source of this 383-nucleotide long non-coding RNA. RefSeq lists it as uncharacterized. The record is from RefSeq and is a predicted model, not a curated record. NCBI's taxonomy places the organism in Eukaryota, Metazoa, Arthropoda, Insecta, Hemiptera, Phylloxeridae. The transcript is spliced from 3 exons.
AAAAAUUAUGUCUCCUCCAAAGAGAAAAGUUUGGAUAUAUUUAAAAAAAGUUGACGCUGUUCUUGCAUUAUGCAAGCAUUGUUCUCAAGAAGUACUCUAUUGUGGCAAUACUUCAAAUUUAUCCAAACAUUUAAAAAAACAUUCAAAUUUGACUAAUACUAAAUCAUCCAUAGUCAAACAGUCAAAAUUGACUAUCACUCAAAAUUCUGUAUCGCCAUUGCCUACAUUGCCAGAACGUUACUCAUCAAAAACUCAGUCGCGACAACUAACGCUUUGUAUGGAAGACUCUGAGCAGAGGAAUGUGUAGACGAUCCACCACAGGCUUUACAACGGCUAAAACAUCCUAUUGUUGAAGCUUUUCAAAAAAUUAGUUCAUAUGCAGU